UACGAAGGGUGCAAGCGUUACUCGGAAUUACUGGGCGUAAAGGGAGCGUAGGCGGAUAGUUUAGUCAGAGGUGAAAUCCCGGGGCUCAACCUCGGAACUGCCUUUGAUACUGGCUAUCUUGAGUAUGGGAGAGGUGUGUGGAACUCCGAGUGUAGAGGUGAAAUUCGUAGAUAUUCGGAAGAACACCAGUGGCGAAGGCGACACACUGGCCCAUUACUGACGCUGAGGCUCGAAAGCGUGGGGAGCAAACAGG
RNAcentral lists this ribosomal RNA (253 nucleotides) under uncultured bacterium. RNAcentral describes it as "partial 16S ribosomal RNA". It matches the Rfam family "Bacterial small subunit ribosomal RNA", at positions 524 to 776 of the family's 1533-position model. The record is from RNAcentral.